Paramuricea clavata is the source of this 149-nucleotide non-coding RNA. Lineage: Eukaryota; Metazoa; Cnidaria; Anthozoa; Malacalcyonacea; Plexauridae. The record is from the annotation of a GenBank genome assembly.
UUGCCUUAAACUAAUGAGUAAGGAAAAUAACGAUCUGGGUGACGCCAGAUCUUCGCACAGUUUAUGCGUAUGAAUUUCUGAAGGGAAGAGGUCGCCCUUGGAUAGCUCGCUUACUUUCGCGGGUAAUCCUUGUGGAAGCGAUCUCCGCC